Molecule: ribosomal RNA, 694 nt
Filed under: Staphylococcus pseudintermedius
Lineage: Bacteria; Bacillati; Bacillota; Bacilli; Caryophanales; Staphylococcaceae
Description: partial 23S ribosomal RNA
Rfam family: Bacterial large subunit ribosomal RNA
Source: RNAcentral
CCAGUACCGUGAGGGAAAGGUGAAAAGUACCCCGGAAGGGGAGUGAAAGAGAACUUGAAACCGUGUGCUUACAAGUAGUCAGAGCCCGUUAAUGGGUGAUGGCGUGCCUUUUGUAGAAUGAACCGGCGAGUUACGAUCUGAUGCAAGGUUAAGCAGAAAAUGUGGAGCCGUAGCGAAAGCGAGUCUGAAUAGGGCGAAUGAGUAUUUGGUCGUAGACCCGAAACCAGGUGAUCUACCCUUGGUCAGGUUGAAGUUCAGGUAACACUGAAUGGAGGACCGAACCGACUUACGUUGAAAAGUGAGCGGAUGAACUGAGGGUAGCGGAGAAAUUCCAAUCGAACUUGGAGAUAGCUGGUUCUCUCCGAAAUAGCUUUAGGGCUAGCCUCAAGUGAUGAUUAUUGGAGGUAGAGCACUGUUUGGACGAGGGGCCCCUCUCGGGUUACCGAAUUCAGACAAACUCCGAAUGCCAAAUAAUUUAACUUGGGAGUCAGAAUGUGGGUGAUAAGGUCCAUAUUCGAAAGGGAAACAGCCCAGACCACCAGCUAAGGUCCCAAAAUAUAUGUUAAGUGGAAAAGGAUGUGGCGUUGCCCAGACAACUAGGAUGUUGGCUUAGAAGCAGCCAUCAUUUAAAGAGUGCGUAAUAGCUCACUAGUCGAGUGACACUGCGCCGAAAAUGUACCGGGGCUAAACAUAU